Long non-coding RNA from Carassius gibelio (silver crucian carp), 499 nucleotides. RefSeq lists it as uncharacterized. NCBI's taxonomy places the organism in Eukaryota, Metazoa, Chordata, Actinopteri, Cypriniformes, Cyprinidae. The record is from RefSeq and is a predicted model, not a curated record. The transcript is spliced from 2 exons.
CUUUAGAACGGUUUUUUUCUACUCGUAUCGAAAUUUUAUAACACUUCAAUAAUGUUUACAUACAGUUUGAAGUUCAAUCGAAAGGCCAAUGCUCAAGUUAAUUCAAUUUGCACCACGGACCCAAACUAUUGCGUAACGAGGUCCCAUGCAGCUAUAAACUUUGGAAGCCGAGAUAAGUGUUGAGGAGGUUUGUGUUUACCUGACUGUGAGUAAAGUCAGUGCCACAACUUACAUUUUUUUGAUUUCCUUUCUUGCUUCCACCUAGUUUCCAGGAAUCACAGGCAAAAUACUCUGAACCCCAUGAAGGAUAAGAUAAAUGUUGAAUAAAUACAGUUACUGCAGGUUUUAUGAUAAAACAAUUAGUAUUUAAUGGAUAAAAUAAAAUGUAUUUUAGGCUAUGACUUCACUUUGUGUAACAGUAAACUCAACAUUAUUCCUUGCUUUGUUGUGUCGGCUGUUUUUAAUUAUUUUGAUUAAUACAAUAAAUCAUUGAAACUUA